UGGGUUUGAGAGUUUAAUCUGUGCUCUGGCGCCCACAGUGCUGCAGCCCCUCAUGGGCCAGAGACAGGAUGCACGGGGACUCCCAGCCCCUACCCGGCAAGAGAGGCAUCACUGAGGCUGCAUCUGCCAUGCGCUCCUGGUGUGACUGCACCCUGUCAGGCCUGUGAAAGGUCAGCAGAGCCAAGGAGCAGGCAGGAGAGGCUGGAGCCCCGCCCAGAACCUUGGCGAGCUGGUGGCCCUGCCAAGUCCUGCUGGCCACUGAAGAGGGAAUCCAGGGCAAGGCAGGUGACCUCCUGGGCCACCAGUCUCUAACCCCUACCCCAGCCUAGGGAAGGGGAGGACAGGAAGAGACUGGAUGCUUUGUAAAGGACUUCCUGUUCUUGGGGACAUAACUCUCGUCCCCUCCCAGAGCCCUGGAUGACUGACAGGCAUUCCUUGGCCAACACAUGCUUGAGCCGCGCUGCUGGCUGCAGGGCACCUGGAUGACAGGCAUUCCUUGGCCAACACAUGCUUCAGCCGCGCUGCCGGCUGCAGGGCACAGAGGCUCCUUCAGUGGAAUUUUGCCUACGACACAGAGCAC
This is a long non-coding RNA of Homo sapiens (human), 580 nucleotides long. The record is from Ensembl. NCBI's taxonomy places the organism in Eukaryota, Metazoa, Chordata, Mammalia, Primates, Hominidae.